AUGGCUCGGGUGUCCUCAAACAUGGCAGCUGGCUCUUCCAAAGCCAGUGGUCCCACAGAGAAAGGUGGAAGCCACGGCAUCUUUAUGACCGUCAUUUCUGCAGUAUCCUGUGGGUUACACAGGUGUGGAUGUGUGGGGGCCGCAUGGAGGACAUCCCCUGCUCCAGGGUGGGCCAUAUCUACAGGAAGUAUGUGCCCUACAAGGUCCCGGCCGGAGUCAGCCUGGCCCGGAACCUUAAGCGGGUGGCCGAAGUGUGGAUGGACGAGUAUGCAGAGUACAUUUACCAGCGCCGGCCUGAAUACCGCCACCUCUCCGCUGGGGAUGUCGCC
This 329-nucleotide small RNA is filed under the name Pongo abelii (Sumatran orangutan). Its description in RNAcentral is "processed transcript". Lineage: Eukaryota; Metazoa; Chordata; Mammalia; Primates; Hominidae. The record is from RNAcentral.